This 465-nucleotide ribosomal RNA is filed under the name uncultured bacterium. RNAcentral describes it as "partial 16S ribosomal RNA". It matches the Rfam family "Bacterial small subunit ribosomal RNA", at positions 28 to 507 of the family's 1533-position model. The record is from RNAcentral.
GACGAACGCUGGCGGCGUGCUUAACACAUGCAAGUCGAACGGAAAGGCCCCUUUUGGGGUACUUACUCGGCUAACGGGUGGGUAACACGUGAGUAACCUACCUUCCCUUUACUUAUAACUUCAGGAAACUGGGGCGAAUACCUGCCAGGAAUCCUUGCUGCAUGGUGGGGGUUGGGAAGCUUUGUCGGGUUUGGGUGGAGUCCGCGGUUAUUAGCCUGUUGGUGGGGUAGUGGGUUACCAAGGCGUUCACGGGUAGGCGGGCUGGGGGGGCGACCGGCCAAAUUGGGGCUGGGAUACGGCCCAGGCUCCUACGGGGAGCAGGAGUGGGGAAUAUUGGAAAAUGGGCGGAAGCCUGAUGCAGCAACGGCGCGGGGGGGAUGACCGCCUUCGGGUUGGAAAACGCUUUCAGCAGGGGAGGAGCUUGUGGUGACGGUACCUGCAGAAGAAGCACCGGCUAACUACGUG